UUUAGAUUAUGAACUCCAUGGGAUAGGGGAUCUUGAUUAUUUAUUCACCUCUAAAGCACCAUGCACAACUAUAGCACUAAAUGCAAAAUAAUAUUUUUUCCAUAAGACUUUAAACCCUGUUAGUUUUGUUACAAUGUUUAUUACCUAUGGAUCUGUGUUUACUCACCCAUUUGUGAGAAGAGAAGGAUAAAACUUUUUUUCAUAUAUUAGAAUUGAUUCAACCUUCCUUCCUUUUUAAGGGAGGAACUACCCCAUAGAAGCUUGAUUUAAAGACCUAGCUUGUAGCUGAUUGGAGGAUGCUUGACUAAAGGUCAUCAUGGGAAAUGUAGUCCUAAACUGGAAGCUAAAGCUUGGGAUAUUGGCAUAAGGAAACAGACACCCAAAAACCGAGAUGACAACAUUUUAUGAAGGUCCAGUGACAUCCGGUUUUCUCACAGGAAACCUGGUCUCUGCCUGUCCAUUGUUUGUGAGAGUCACACUCAUGACCCAGAGCCAAGCUGCAAAGGGAGCAUUACCGCUGUGAAGUUGAUGAGGAAUUGGAGGUGUUUGCCUGACAAUAGCAAGUGUUGAAAUGUUGUGCUAAAUGCAUUCCCUGCAUGGACUACAGAUGCAGAAAAAGAUGAAUCCACAAAAUUAGCGUUUCUCUCUCUUUGCGUGUGCGUGUGUGGUGGUCUUUUGUUGUUGUUUUUGUUUUUUAUGUAGCUGGUUAUAAUCCCAAAGCAUUUAGGACUUGAUCAUGUAAGGUGCUGAGACCAAUUCCUGGCAGAUAACAAGCCCCUGCAUUUCAGUCUGGGUCAGAUCCUAACACAACAAAACCUUUAGAGUGACAACAUGUUUUCCUUUCACAAUAACUUACUUUCUCUAAACUGAGGUUCACUGUAGUAGGAGGGGUUGGGUUUUGUUUUGCACACUGCGGUGUAUUGAAACAAUGAAAGAAGCCAUCUAGUUGGCUACUGUGAGCAAGAUUAUUGUCUCCUUUAAUUGACGUAUGGUGCUUAGAUACCAAGGUGCUCAUCCCUUAGAAAAACCUCAGACUAUUGUAUUACAGUAAUUAUUGUUGCAAUGCCUUUACCCCACCCAGGGAAUCUCCCACAGGGGGGGAAUCUUCAGCUAAGUGGAUAGGUCAAGUUCAUGGCCCCUUUGCACCCCUGAAGCAGCACAAAGGGGCCUUAGUAAAAGGCAAUGUCUGGCCCAGAAUCUGUGAACUGAAGCCAGUGGUAGCUGUACUCACUUGCACGAGGAACAGAUUUGCCCCCAUCCUCUUUAUUAAACACAUGAAGAUCAGAGCAUGUACAUUCUUAGCACAGGGUUAGUUUGAGAGGCAGCCACUUUAGAUGAUGUCACUGAAAAAAAACAACACGGUGGUAUUCUCCAUGACUCAGACCCUGCCCAUAUCCAGUGAAAAGGUGUUGCUCUUAUUCAAGCACCGAUCAUGAAUUGUUCCCUCCAUUCACUGAUUUUACCGAGGAAGUUAAAAAGGGGGUUUAAAUAGGAAACUUUCAGUAAAGGAAAAAUAUGACUGCAGGUGUUCAUGCAAAAGAAGCUGUGUUUUGAUGCUUAUAUGAAGUGGAGAACUGAUGCAGGAGAAGGAACUUUCUUUUUGUGGAGGCAGAAAAAACUGAUGAAGAGGAAUGGAAAUAGAUCCUUUCCUGAGCUCCUCUUGCCAAGUGCUGAGCAUCCUUCACUCCAGCUGGCACCAGAUGGAUUUUAGGGUGCUCAGAACUUUACCAGAUCAGGCACAGAGCGUGAAAUUUACCUUCCUCUCAGAGAGUCAUUGCAGAGCUUAUCCACCAAAUCAGCCCUGAAGUGGUGUGUAGAUGCUGCUCAGUACUUGUGUGGAUUUCAUCCUUUUCACCCUCAUCUCAGUGUGUCUUCAGGGAUGAGGUGUGGGGCAUGCGAUGGAAGACGAGAUAUGGAGUCUGGCAGCAGGAGUGUAUUUAAUCUGAUCAUAUCUGGCACUAACUGUGUAUUCUGUAAUAUACUUUUUAUGUACAAGUUCCUCUCUAUAGAUUAGUUUCUUUAUAUAGGAUCUGAUCCAGCUCCCCUUAAGUCAAUGAGAGUCUGUCUAUUGACUUGAAUAGGUUUUGGAUCAAACCCCUAAAGUGCAGUUAAAACCCGAAAAGUGACUUUGUAUAGGGGUCAUCCUUUCUCUAAAACGUCACUUCUAGAGCAAAUCAUAAAUGGAAGGAUGAUUGUUCUCAUAGCUGGUGUCAAAGGCAUCCUGUAAAUGAUUAUUAAGUAGAGCUAUGUGAAUAAUGGAUUUUUCAGUUCACUCAAAAAACGGAAAAUAAAUAGUUCCAGGUCAAACCAAAAAUGUAAUUUUUUUGAAAAUUCAGCACUUUGAAAAGUAAAACAAAAAAUUAUGUCAGGUUGCAUGAAAAGUUUAGUUUUGACAAAAUCAUUUUGAAUUUGGUCAUUGUUAAAAGUUUGAUUUUAAAAAAAAAUUAAAGGAGCUUUUGAAAGG
Long non-coding RNA from Dermochelys coriacea (leatherback sea turtle), 2464 nucleotides. RefSeq lists it as uncharacterized. Lineage: Eukaryota; Metazoa; Chordata; Testudines; Dermochelyidae. The record is from RefSeq and is a predicted model, not a curated record. The transcript is spliced from 3 exons.